This is an RNA transcript of Cephus cinctus (wheat stem sawfly), 4146 nucleotides long. It is a transcript of the gene named spindle assembly abnormal protein 6 homolog, with no coding region annotated. The transcript is spliced from 6 exons. The record is from RefSeq and is a predicted model, not a curated record. NCBI's taxonomy places the organism in Eukaryota, Metazoa, Arthropoda, Insecta, Hymenoptera, Cephidae.
UAUAUAAUCUCUAGUGGAACUUUCUGUCGAACUGAAUGAGGCUUUAAAUAAACUAUUAACAUAAAAGCUCUGGUCUGACAAUGAAAGUAGCGUAAAUGAAAGUGGGAGGGGUCGUAAGUUAGUUUUAACGCGUGCUGUCAGGAGGGCAGCACUGUCAGUACGCGUGCGUCGAUCCGCGAUGAAUGAUUUGAAAGUUCGAACGCUAAAAUUUCCAGAAUAUCUACUGCGUAAGGGGUCCAAAUGAGACGUGAUCCGGAGGACGCGAAAGAUUUGCUUGGCCUGUCAGCUACCUGGUUGAAAGUGACGGAUGUAUUAUUGAGAGAACCGCUAUGAUGAAUUACUUGAACAGUAUAGCGGGUGGUGGUGUAGCUGGUGAUGCUGGCUUGCAGCUGAACAAUGUCGAAGUUCUUUAUACGAAGGUACAGAGAGUUUAUGUAAAGCCACAGCAUAAGGAUGAACGCCAGAGAGAACUCCGGGUCAACGUCGAAAUCCACGCAGGACUCAGUCCAGUCUGUCGUAAGAGCCUCUGUGUACUACUGUCAGAUGAUGAUGAUCCUUGUUUUCUUUAUUCGUUGUACAUUACCGAUGAUGAUUUCAAAGUUCUCAAGGCUCAGCAAGGCUUGCUCGUGGACUUUGACAACUUUGCUACGCAGUUGAUAUGUCUUUUGGAACAAUGUUAUGUACCGGCAUCGAGUAUAGGCAAGACUCCACCAAAGUUCUUGCUUUUACUGGCAGAAGAAGGCAUGGAUUGGACCUUCAGGCUUGUUGAAACAAAUAACUUUAAACAUCUGUGUCAUCUCAGUUUAAAUAUUGCACCUGCGAGUGACUCUGAUAUAAAAACUCAUAUGGCAAUGAAGAUCAAGCAGCUAAAGGAAAAUGUCAUGCACAAGGAUAGAGACGUAAUUGGUAUGGAGACAAGACUGAAUGACUUAACAAGCAAGCUUGAUGCAAAGACCAGGGAUUUGGAGCAAUUAGAGCAGAAAUAUCUGUCUGAGAAAAAUCAACUGCAAAUUAAUUCAUCGCAGCAAAUCAGCAUCGAAAAAGAUAGGCUAGCACAAGCAAGACUAGAGUGGCAGCGACAAAGUGAGAAGGAAAAAUUGGAAGUGGAACAACGUCAUGCAGAAACUCUUAAACAGCUUCAUACAGAAUUAGCCGAGUUGCGAACACAAAAUAUUGGUCUCAGGGAUAAGCAAUCUCUUUUGGAAGCUACAAACAAGGAACAAGCAAAACAGCUGCAGAUACUAGAAAAGGAGCUCAGCGUUGCCCAACGUGAUUUGUCUAUGCUAAAGAAACAAAAUUCCAAGCUGGACGUAGAUUAUCACGAUAAAGAUAAGGCAGUGAACGGACUCCGAACAAAGGUCGCAGUGCUCGAGCAGGAGUUGAAAGACAAAUCUGUGCUUAUUAGCAAGCAUACAGAGAUGAUAAAAACAGCUAAGGAACAGAAGCAGCAUCUCGAGGAGCUCCUAGCCGACAAGGAAGGUCAGUUACAACGCAAGCAAAACUCCUUGAGGAACUUGAGCGACGAGUUAGUAAAAGCUAACGAGAUCUUAACCAAGUUACAAAAUGAGUUGGCAUCGACUAAGUCAAAGCUGAAGCUGAGAACGAGUAUAGCAUUGGAACAAGAACGAUUACUGGAUGCGAAGCAGAAGGAGGUCGGUCAGUUAGAGAAUAAAACAAGUGGCUAUGCAAAAGAAGCCAGCGAAGCAAAGGCUGAAGUGGAGAGUCUGAAAGAGCAAUUGAAGUCAUUGCAAAAUCAACUGGAGGAGAAAGAGAAGAUCAUUAAGAACAAUGACAACGUAAUCAGCUGGUUAAACAGAAGACUAGCAGAAGGGCAAUCUCCGCUACAAAGUGCAACAACAACGGCACCCAUAACUCUACCAUCAUCCGUCCAGUUGACUUUACCCAGAGGAAACAAACUCUUCUCGAGUAGAUUCGAGACCAGAACACCAGCACCAAGUACAACUCAACAACCCAGUAUUCCAAUGACAAACUUACCCCUGCGGAACCCUAUAGUACAGAAUCCAAACAUCAAUCAAACAGCACGUACAACGGCUCGCUCAAUGGGAGUCGGAGUUACGGACAGUACAGUAGGUUUAUCAACCUUUAAUAAAGGCGGACAGAUCUCAUGCACCAGCACCCCAAUGGACCGAGUAAACUCCUUGAACAAAUUACCUGGCAACGUAGCUGGAGCUUCGUCAAUGCCAGCCAUCGCAGAGAACAACAAUCCCGCCCUAAGCACAAAUAGUGCGAAAGCUAAAAGUGCCAGUGGUGUUAUGCAAGGUGGACUUCGGAGGGCGGUUUUUGAUAAACCUUUACUACCCUCAGCGUACUUCCCCAAGUCAUUACACUGAUCCGAAUUUCGAUGAUACCUGAGCCAAGCUCGACGCAAGUAAAUAUUCGAAAACUGAAGGCUCCGGUACUCCAGAUAAUCAGUAGCAACACACAACAAUGGCGUGACGCAACAAGUUUGCAGGUGACUUUACACACAGCCAGAAGUCGAAGACACGCAGGCGCAUUAACGUUCACACGCUCCUUCUCAUCCUACGAACGCCAGUGCACCGUUAUUUUAAGCACUAUUAUUCCACAAAGCACACUGCCGAGUAUACAAACUCUGUACGAAGCGUCUAAUCUCUCCAAGGAACAUUGCGUAACGUACAAGCUGAGCAAAUGCUUUGGGCUUUACGAAUAAGAGACUUUUUUAACCUACAUUUCAGCUGAAUUACAUACUAAAAUACAUGAUCUCUUUUGUCUCAAGCUGAACAAUAAACCAUACCUGGAGUCCGGCAAACGAUUAGCAUCUCCCGAAUAAAAAAAGGAGAUCAAUGAGACAUUCAUUGACAAUAAAUGCCCAUUGUCUUCAUCAGCUGAUACCUUGUUAUACAAGAACGUAACUAAAGAAGUCAUAAUAUUCUGAUCCAGGAGAUAUAGAUGGAGAAAACAAUUUUCGUCUGAUAGAAUCAACCAGUACUUUCCUAGUAUUAUAUUUAGAUGCGCACUUAGCGCAUUUUGAAUGUUGAGGAGGUGCAUCUUGUGUGAAUGACCGAAAGCAUGAUGGCUCGGUGCGUGUUCCUCCGGUUUGACGGCGAUAGAACUCGUGAACGAGGAAAGAGAGGAAGCAGGAGAAAAGAGAGGAUGCAAUGCAGUGAGCAAGGGAGGGCGAAAAAGACGGCACCUUGUAGAAAAUGAGAGAACGAAAGGGAAUAGUGGAAUCAGGAUCGUAACAAGUUACAUAAUAUUUGGGAGAAUAAGCAAGAAUAAGAUUAUUUACGAAUUCAUAAAUAUCUUUUCCCUUUUUUUUUUCACGGUAAGUACACCCACCUUGCGAUCCCUUAGUACCCACAUCCUGUUGGAUUUCUUUGGAUUGCAGAAAUUAUCGCAAAUAUAUUUGAAUUAGAAAAUACCCAUAUGCUUUGUUAUCAAUGGCGAUAUUCAGGCCUACGUGUGCGAAAUUAAAUAAUUUGCCAUCGGGAGAUAAACAUGACUUUUUCUAUCAGCUGCCAGUCGACUGUGCGAUACAGAAACAAUGAAAACUCGCUACACUUGCUAUUUGCAAUACAUACGCAAUUUAUAUCUGAGCAAGCAAUACGCUGUGUGGUACUCUGAUAGAAAAUAUUGUUUUCAACAUGCAUUGACGUACUUACACGAGGAAUCUAAAGUUAAUAAAUUUGCACGCGAGAACGCAAUAUGUAUAUUGUGGAAUGCACAGACGUUUGCACAUUUGGAUCUCAUGCGUUUGUUAUUUGUAUUACGUUGAGUUUCAUAUCUCUAUACAUAUCAUGAGAGUUGAACGCAUAAGAAUCAGUAUAGGAAAUAUGUUUUUGUUAAAAAAAAUGUAUAUCUACUCAUUGGAUUAUGACGCGUAUUCGCAUUGGUGAAACAAAUGUGUGUUACGUGUAAAUGCCGGCUCGUUCGCGGUUUAAUUAACGCUUGUAUAAAUAUUGAUAAAUUUAAUUGACCUUUAUGUAAAUGUUUAUCACAAGAGAGUGAACAAAUGCGUCACUGAUACAUUUAUUGCCCGCAUGUGUAAUAGUUUAUGUCGCUACGACAAAGGGAAUAUCCUCGUGUACUAUAAUAGUUAAUUUUUUUGGGAAAAUAGAUACUUCAUUAAAAUAAUUAAAAAAUAUACUAUACAGAAUUGCAUUGUAA